Bombus pyrosoma is the source of this 645-nucleotide long non-coding RNA. RefSeq lists it as uncharacterized. The record is from RefSeq and is a predicted model, not a curated record. The transcript is spliced from 3 exons. NCBI's taxonomy places the organism in Eukaryota, Metazoa, Arthropoda, Insecta, Hymenoptera, Apidae.
UGAAAUAUGAGGUUGCUGGAACUGUGUAACUGUAUUUACAUGUACAUGUGACAUCUACGAGGACGUGGAAGAUCAGUUAAUGCGAGGAUUCUUUGAGUUUUGUAUGAGCACAGUCUUGACAAAUGCGAUAAACCAACCAGAACGAUGGAUUAAAAAGACUUAGAAGACUCGAUUUCAAAUAACAACUAUUCUUUCCAAUUAUUUUCUCCCUGAAAUUCGAAACUAAUGAAACUUACGCAAUGUAAUUUACCGUUCGAAAGCCAAUGUAAAAUUCCAGUCACGAUAUCUCAUCGAUUUCCUAUGUUAGUGCGUGUCGCGACCAUCCACCAGGCACCGCCAAACGAGUUUUUAUACUACGUUACCAUUAAGAACGUCGCUGAGACCGAUGGACCCUAGUCGAUGACCAGGUUGUCUGCAGAAGGCGAUUGGUUCUCGCUGAGCUCCUCCCAGAAUCCAUUAAGAGCCGAAACGGAGAAACACAGCAUUAAUUUUAAAACCAAUCCCUGAGGAGAAAUCGGGCAUUGGCCGCCAUUCGUGCGAGCUGCCGCUGGAGAAAAUCCAUCGAAAAAAAGGCUUCUUAAUUACUUCACCGCUUGUUCCCCUCUGCGAAGCAUCGGAAACACGCGAGAUGACUCGCCUCCGGGA